Long non-coding RNA from Sinocyclocheilus rhinocerous, 103 nucleotides. RefSeq lists it as uncharacterized. The transcript has 3 exons. The record is from RefSeq and is a predicted model, not a curated record. NCBI's taxonomy places the organism in Eukaryota, Metazoa, Chordata, Actinopteri, Cypriniformes, Cyprinidae.
CAGUCUGUUGGCGCCCUCUGCAGGCAUUUGUUAUAAUGCGUAAUGUACAAUAGCGCUAUUGUUCAUAAUACAUUAUGUAUUUUUACAAUUAUAUUCAAUAAAA